This 611-nucleotide transfer RNA is filed under the name uncultured Prochlorococcus sp. RNAcentral's name for it is "partial contains 16S ribosomal RNA, 16S-23S ribosomal RNA intergenic spacer, and 23S ribosomal RNA". The stretch from base 227 to 299 matches the Rfam family "tRNA". Lineage: Bacteria; Bacillati; Cyanobacteriota; Cyanophyceae; Synechococcales; Prochlorococcaceae. The record is from RNAcentral.
UGGAUCACCUCCUAACAGGGAGACAACAAAAUGUUUAAUAUUAUAAUUUUGUCACCUUAGGUCGAUCGGUAUCUCACGUUUUUAAUUUAUUAAGAAUUUCAUUUCCUAAGUUUUUCUAGGUCACACCCAUUAUUUUUCCUGGGCCAUUAGCUCAGGUGGUUAGAGCGCACCCCUGAUAAGGGUGAGGUCCCUGGUUCAAGUCCAGGAUGGCCCAUAUCUCUAUGUUGGGGGUAUAGCUCAGUUGGUAGAGCGCCUGCUUUGCAAGCAGGAUGUCAGCGGUUCGAGUCCGCUUACCUCCACUGAUCACCACCUCUUCCAUAAUCGGUAGAAAGGAAAUUUUUUGAGUUGUGAUCAAAUUCUGAAAGAAUCUAGCUUCCUAAUGGAAUCAUUAAGAUGCUGGACUCAUUGAAUUAAUUUCAUUGUUUUCAGAGAACCUUGACAACUGCAUAGAUUAUUUUUAAAGACAAUAAGCAUCUUUAAUGAUGCAGAUUUAUUAUUUGUGCAAAUGCAUUAAUAACAAUUCUAUUAAGCUGAUGCUUCAAUAUUUGAAGUUAUUGGUCAAGCUACAAAGGGCUCACGGAGGAUACCUAGGCACACAGAGGCGAUGAAGG